AUGAAUACUUUAAUGAUGGAUUUGAAAACCGGGGAGUUGAUAAAACAACAGUUUGUUUGCAACAAGUUUCGAAAGCUUGAUGUCGAUGACGGAGGGGCAGAAAAGAUUCCUGUGCUAGAUGACAUUGUUGAGCAAGAAAAGGAUGAUAAUGAAGAUGAGGCUAUUGUAUUUCUUGAUGAUGAUGACAGUAAGGGCAAAAAGAGGAGCAAGAAAUGA
RNAcentral lists this ribosomal RNA (216 nucleotides) under Triticum aestivum (bread wheat). Its description in RNAcentral is "partial small subunit ribosomal RNA". The record is from RNAcentral. Lineage: Eukaryota; Viridiplantae; Streptophyta; Magnoliopsida; Poales; Poaceae.